This is a non-coding RNA of Heterocephalus glaber (naked mole-rat), 4129 nucleotides long. Lineage: Eukaryota; Metazoa; Chordata; Mammalia; Rodentia; Bathyergidae. The record is from RefSeq and is a predicted model, not a curated record.
GAGGGGACAGAAAUCUCUCGCGAGCCAGUACCUGUUUUCACCUUGAGUAUUUUACAAAAGGAUACAGAGAGGCUGUCACUACUGUAGUUAUUGUCGUGGUAAAUUAACUGUUGCACGGCCCCCAAAUUGCUCCAUGGCAGCCAAGGGGAGCGGAGCCUACGAGGAUUCUGGAACCCAGGGUUCUGGCGUAGGUCAGAGGCGAUGGCUGGAGGGAACAGUCCCGCUGGUCCUGGUGAGCUAGGCCCUCCUGGGUCUAGAUCCUGGGCCCCAGGUUACCCUUAAGAGCGGUGGGCGCGUAGCGAACGGAGUGAUCAGCCCGGAACCCCCGAGUUCCUGGGCAUACGUGGACCUUCGUUCCCUGACUGGGGUCCUGUGCACACAGACAAGAUGGGCUUUUACAGUUCAGAUUGGAACAAACCACCCUGGCAGCAGAAAUCCACCUCAAGAUGAAAUAAUAUCUACCUGGCCCUCUAGAGGAAUAAGGAAGAUAUGAAGACCAUGAAGAAACUGGCUUCAUGGCUGAGGGUCUGGAGAGGUGAAGAGAUGGCCACGUCUCCAGCCUUAUGAGAGAAUGUUCAGGUUUACUUUCUAACAAUAUGCUGGUUCUAAGAAAAGAAGGGGAAGCCCCACAGCCGGUUUUCCAGUAAGAGGGGUCUAUGUUCCUCACACUGGGGAAAUUGGUGGUGGCUUGGUGUUCAUGCAUUUCCUGCAUGUUUGUGGGUAACAGUCACAUCCAAGGACAUAUUAUUAUCUUCAUGGAGGAGAAUAGAAGAGACUGAGCUGUGAGCGAGGAACAUAUACAAUGAAGGGAUGCUGGAAAACUGGAAUCUGCUGUCUUUGGGUGACUCCAGCCCAGGAAUCAGAAGUCCCAGGAGCAGCAGUAUUGUGAUCAAAGCUUCUAGAGUGAAACCACCAAAGUUGUGAGAGAGAGAAGGUGGCUUCAAAGACUCGCAAGUGUGGGCACAGGAGAGAAGGAGGAAAGGAAGCCUCAAGGACAUUCUCCACCCUCUUCCAAGAACAGUCGUCAAGAGGAGGUAACAUGGUGUAGAAAAAGAGCCUCACUCAGCUCAGAGGGUAAACCUUUUGUAACCAAAGGGUUGAAGGAGUUAGAGACCUUGAUAUUGGAGCAGUGGACUAUAGAGUGUGUGAGCCAGACUGUAGCCUGAAAUCAAACUUCAUUGCAAAGUCCAAGACUCUUGCAGGCAAGAAGCCCUAUGUUUGCAGUGAUUUCAGGCCAUAAGUCGACCCUCAUCAGACACCAUUGGACACACUCAAUGGAGAAGCCAUGUGUGCAGUGAGGGUGGCAGAGGCAUUAGCUAGAAGCCCAACAUCAGCAGCCAUCAGAAAACAUUCAGAAGAGAAAGCUUUCUUGUGCAAGGAGUGUGAGUAUAGCUUUAGAAAUAAGUCUAUCCUCAGUAGACAUCAAUGGACUCACUUAGGGAGAAUCCUUGCAUUCACAGCAAGCAUGAGUGAAGCUUUGGCCAGAGGUCAUCCUUCUUCAUAACCAGAAGAUCCACUCAGGUGAGAAACCUUCCAUGUGCCUGGAGUGUGGACGAGGCUUCAUGAUGAGGUGAAGACACCAGAGGCUGCUUAGGGGAGAAGGUUAUGUUUGCAGGGAGUUUGAGGCCUUAGCAACACUCAGUCCUACUCAGCACACCAGAGGAUACUCAGGUGAGAAGCCUUCAAUUUUCAGGGUGUGAGGAAGGCUUUUGCCUCAAGUCAGACCCCAUUAUGCAUGAGAGGCACACUCACAGGAGAAGCCUCACAUGUGCAGUGAGUGGGGUGAGUAUGGUGUGAAAUCACACCUCCUUGUCCACCAUAGGACACAGAGGGGAGAAGCAUUAUGUUUGUGGGGAGUGUGGGCAGAGCUCUAGCUAGAAGUCAAAUCUGAUCUCACACUGGAGGAUAAACUGAGAGGAGAAGCCUUGUAUGUGAGAGGCUCACGGGCAAGACUAGAGCCACCAGUCAGGCCUUAUCUUAAAGCAGAGACACAAUGAGGAUCUCUGUGUGCAUGUGGAGUAUGAGUGACGUUUCAGAGCUGUGUCACCUCCUGUAGGCCCCGAGGACACAUUCUGGAGCAUAGCAAUAAAUCAGCCUCAUUUAGGGAAAGUCCUGUGUGUGUAGGGAGUGUGGGUAAGGUGUUAGUAGCAAGCCAGCACUUAGAGACAUCCAGUGACUGCCCUGUGGAGGUGUCAAACAUUUGGGGUGUUGGUUAGCAUCAGCAAGAAGGUGAACAGGCAGCACAAGAGGGCCUUCUGUGGUCCCACACCUCAGGAAGAAUCUGCACGGGGGAUGCUCAGUCAGGUGAUCUUUUUGGGGCUGAUACCCCAGCUACUUGAGGGAAGGGCCUCUCCCUCCCUUAAGGGAAGCUGCACUCCUCUGAGGCACCAGCUCUUAGCCACAGGGAGCUGCAGACUCCCCAAGGACUCCUAAAAGUGACUGCUUCAAGUUAGGAGACAAAACCCCACCCUUGACUCAACUGAGACAAUUACCCAGGUCCUGCCCAAUCCAGAGCCCCACUGGACUAAACGAUCUCUCAGUUGCAAACACUGCAGGUCAGCCCUGUCCUCUGCCCAGUCCUGCCCUGGGCCCAAGUGGACCCUGACUACCUCCCAUGGUCUCUGCAGGAACCUAAUUGAGGCCAUCUUUUGUGUCAGAGUGAGGAUGAGGCUUUUGCCAUGUCACCUCUGAGCAGAUAUCAGAGUAUACAGAAAAGAAACUGGGUGCACAGGGAGUGGGCAAGGACAUAAGAAAGAGGCACGCUGUCUCAGGGAACAGCUUUUUUUGGGAGAGGUGUUACAUGGGCAGGAGUGGGGAGGAUGUGAGAUGCCUUAGCAGUAAGUUUAACCUCCCAGACACCAAAGGACACACUUAGGAAGAAGGCCUGUGUGUGGGAGGGGUUGUGGCUGAAGGUUUACCUUGAUGGUCCUGCCUCAUUCACCUCUGAGGGUCUCCAGGAGAAAUCCCAGCCUCCCCCCAUACUCUGAGAGUAAAGUGGCAAUAGAAAUUAAAUGGACUCCCCCCCACUUUUUAUAAUUAGAUGGAAUAAAAAAGUAGGCAUUCAUUAAGUUUUCUUUUUGUACAUCAGUUCUUUCCCUGGCUUCUUAUCCUUUGCUUUGGUCUUGAAUUCAGAACCCUCAUCAUUCUUCCUCACUUUCAGUUUUAGAAUGGUCUUUUUUCAUGUUGGUUUUUGCUGAGUUUUCUGGAGAAAAAAUUGGUGAUUGUGAAAAAUGAACAUCAAUUUUAGUAUGGAAACAUUUGACUCAAUAAUUGCAAUAGGUGGGAACUAUGUAAUCUGAUGGAAAAAAUUGUAGAAAUAUGACUACUUGGAAAGAUAUAGUAGCACCAUGUAUAAUGACUCUGUGUCAUAGUCACCUCUAGGUUACAGAGAAGUUUGGGGCAGGAAGGACUUUCAAGAUGGCUAGCAAUGUGACAGCACUUGUUUGUGAAAUGAGGUAUGGUGGCCAGGCAUGUUGGCACACACCUGUAAUCCCAGCACUUGGGAGUUUGAGGCAGGGGGAUUGCCACAAGUUUGAGGUGAGCCUGGUCUGCAUAGUGGGUACAAAUCCAGCCUAAAUUACAUAGCAAGACUCUGUCUCAAAAAACAGAAAACAAAAAACAAAACAACCAGGUAUGGUGAUGCAUAUUAAAGUGGACCUAAUAAAUACAUACACACAAGUGUUGUAAUAAUCUGCACAUAUAUUUCUCACUUAUGAAAAAUAAACCCAGAAUUUUAAAUAUAUUUUUUAAUGAACUGUAUAUGUUUAGGGGUAACAUGGUGAUAUAUACACAUUAUGUAAUGUUUUCAUCAGGGUAAAAAAAAUCUAUUUCCUCAAAAAUAUAUUGUUUUAAUGGUGAGAACACUCAAAGUCCUUUCUUCAAGCUUUUUGGAGUACAGUAUAAUGGUCGUGCUAUGUGCAGGAUACCAGAAUUUAUUGUUCCUAACUAUACCUCAGAACCCAUUUAUCAACCUCUCCUGAUCCCUCCCUCAACAUAAAAAAAUUUUUUUGAAUCAGUUUCUUUCUAAAAGAGAACAGAUGGUACUAGAUUCCUGGAAACAUGAAAUUUUCUUAUUGCCUCAUCAUGUUCCAUUAGUAAAUACCAUAUUAUCCUUUUAUUUCCUCCUAAU